Molecule: ribosomal RNA, 1345 nt
Filed under: Nocardia cyriacigeorgica
Lineage: Bacteria; Bacillati; Actinomycetota; Actinomycetes; Mycobacteriales; Nocardiaceae
Description: bacterial SSU rRNA
Rfam family: Bacterial small subunit ribosomal RNA
Source: RNAcentral
GGCCAUUCGGGGUACACGAGCGGCGAACGGGUGAGUAACACGUGGGUGAUCUGCCUCGCACUCUGGGAUAAGCCUGGGAAACUGGGUCUAAUACCGGAUAUGACCUUACAUCGCAUGGUGUUUGGUGGAAAGAUUUAUCGGUGCGAGAUGGGCCCGCGGCCUAUCAGCUUGUUGGUGGGGUAAUGGCCUACCAAGGCGACGACGGGUAGCCGGCCUGAGAGGGCGACCGGCCACACUGGGACUGAGACACGGCCCAGACUCCUACGGGAGGCAGCAGUGGGGAAUAUUGCACAAUGGGCGAAAGCCUGAUGCAGCGACGCCGCGUGAGGGAUGACGGCCUUCGGGUUGUAAACCUCUUUCGACAGGGACGAAGCGCAAGUGACGGUACCUGUAGAAGAAGCACCGGCCAACUACGUGCCAGCAGCCGCGGUAAUACGUAGGGUGCGAGCGUUGUCCGGAAUUACUGGGCGUAAAGAGCUUGUAGGCGGCUUGUCGCGUCGAUCGUGAAAACUUGGGGCUCAACCCCAAGCUUGCGGUCGAUACGGGCAGGCUUGAGUACUUCAGGGGAGACUGGAAUUCCUGGUGUAGCGGUGAAAUGCGCAGAUAUCAGGAGGAACACCGGUGGCGAAGGCGGGUCUCUGGGAAGUAACUGACGCUGAGAAGCGAAAGCGUGGGUAGCGAACAGGAUUAGAUACCCUGGUAGUCCACGCCGUAAACGGUGGGUACUAGGUGUGGGUUUCCUUCCACGGGAUCCGUGCCGUAGCUAACGCAUUAAGUACCCCGCCUGGGGAGUACGGCCGCAAGGCUAAAACUCAAAGGAAUUGACGGGGGCCCGCACAAGCGGCGGAGCAUGUGGAUUAAUUCGAUGCAACGCGAAGAACCUUACCUGGGUUUGACAUACACCGGAAACCUGCAGAGAUGUAGGCCCCCUUGUGGUCGGUGUACAGGUGGUGCAUGGCUGUCGUCAGCUCGUGUCGUGAGAUGUUGGGUUAAGUCCCGCAACGAGCGCAACCCUUAUCUUAUGUUGCCAGCGCGUAAUGGCGGGGACUCGUGAGAGACUGCCGGGGUCAACUCGGAGGAAGGUGGGGACGACGUCAAGUCAUCAUGCCCCUUAUGUCCAGGGCUUCACACAUGCUACAAUGGCCGGUACAGAGGGCUGCGAUACCGUGAGGUGGAGCGAAUCCCUUAAAGCCGGUCUCAGUUCGGAUCGGGGUCUGCAACUCGACCCCGUGAAGUUGGAGUCGCUAGUAAUCGCAGAUCAGCAACGCUGCGGUGAAUACGUUCCCGGGCCUUGUACACACCGCCCGUCACGUCAUGAAAGUCGGUAACACCCGAAGCCGGUGGC